Molecule: ribosomal RNA, 465 nt
Filed under: uncultured bacterium
Lineage: Bacteria
Description: partial 16S ribosomal RNA
Rfam family: Bacterial small subunit ribosomal RNA
Source: RNAcentral
GACGAACGCUGGCGGCGUGCUUAACACAUGCAAGUCGAACAGAAAGGCCCUGCUUGCAGGGUACUCGAGUGGCGAACGGGUGAGUAACACGUGGGUGAUCUGCCCUGCACUUCGGGAUAAGCCUGGGAAACUGGGUCUAAUACCGGAUAGGAGCCAUUUUUAGUGUGAUGGUUGGAAAGUUUUUUCGGUGUAGGAUGAGCUCGCGGCCUAUCAGCUUGUUGGUGGGGUAAUGGCCUACCAAGGCGGCGACGGGUAGCCGGCCUGAGAGGGUGGACGGCCACAUUGGGACUGAGAUACGGCCCAGACUCCUACGGGAGGCAGCAGUGGGGAAUAUUGCACAAUGGGCGCAAGCCUGAUGCAGCGACGCCGCGUGGGGGAUGACGGCCUUCGGGUUGUAAACUCCUUUCGCUAGGGACGAAGCUUUUUGUGACGGUACCUAGAGAAGAAGCACCGGCUAACUACGUG